GGGCUAGCGUUAUCCGGAUUUACUGGGCGUACAGGGUGCGUAGGUGGUCUUUCAAGUCGGUGGUUAAAGGCUACGGCUCAACCGUAGUAAGCCUCCGAAACUGUUAGACUUGAGUGCAGGAGAGGAAAGUGGAAUUCCCAGUGUAGCGGUGAAAUGCGUAGAUAUUGGGAGGAACACCGGUAGCGAAGGCGGCUUUCUGGACUGCAACUGACACUGAGGCACGAAAGCGUGGGUAGC
This 237-nucleotide ribosomal RNA is filed under the name uncultured bacterium. RNAcentral's name for it is "partial 16S ribosomal RNA". It matches the Rfam family "Bacterial small subunit ribosomal RNA", at positions 532 to 769 of the family's 1533-position model. The record is from RNAcentral.